AGAGCGAACGCUGGCGGCAGGCCUAACACAUGCAAGUCGAGCGCCCGUAGCAAUACGGGAGCGGCAGACGGGAGAGUAACACGUGGGAACGCGCCCUUCGGUUCGGAAUAACUCAGGGAAACUUGAGCUAAUACCGGAUACGCCCUUACGGGGAAAGAUUUAUUGCCGAAGGAACGGCCCGCGUCCGAUUAGCUAGUUGGUGAGGUAAUGGCUCACCAAGGCGACGAUCGGUAGCUGGUCUGAGAGGAUGACCAGCCUCACUGGGACUGAGACACGGCCCAGACUCCUACGGGAGGCAGCAGUGGGGAAUAUUGGACAAUGGGCGCAAGCCUGAUCCAGCCAUGCCGCGUGGAUGAUGAAGGCCCUAGGGUUGUAAAGUCCUUUUAACGGGGAGAUAAUGACGGUACCCGUAGAAUAAGCCCGGCUAACUUCGCGCCAGCAGCCGC
Molecule: ribosomal RNA, 446 nt
Filed under: uncultured bacterium
Lineage: Bacteria
Description: SSU rRNA
Rfam family: Bacterial small subunit ribosomal RNA
Source: RNAcentral